GGCCUGGCCCGACCCGGCCCGAAAAUUUCGGGUAUCUUGGGGGUUCUUGUUCGGGUAGGUUGGGGCUAUAACCCUACCCGGAACAAAAUGCCCGAAAUCGCUUCCACAAACCCUAGACGACCCCAAACUCCGUCGGAGCACCAUCUCCGCCGGAGAAGGAAGCCGCUCUCAUUCGUCGCCGAACCCUCUCAUGGCUUCUGAGAACCGACGUUUCUCCUAUUCCCGUCGAAUCUUUAAUGUGGUGGGAGCUUCGCUCGCGCGUUCAACCGGGUUUUCUUCCUCGCCCUUUGUGAGCAUCGAUUGCUGUUUCCAUCGGAUGAGUUUCGAUUGUCGAUUCAACGGUUUAGGGGGGGUGUGGUCGUGAUUAGAUACGAGGUCCCUCACUCGCGAGUCGCGGGUGACUGGCUGAUCGAGCUCCAGGGUAGUGAGAAUUGGUGUCGGGGGCUCGCGUAGGGGAUUGAUGUGGGCCGUUUGUUUCUUAGUGUGACGGAAGAAUCGUCCGAGAAGCAGACUCGAGAUUUUAAAUUUUUCCCAGAGAUUCUUUCGUUUGAUCAAGCACGGACUUCAGGCUGCAGAGGUUCUUCAGUUGAAAAAUCCAAUUUUGCAAACUCUGCCCUCCUCUUAGUCUCAUCUCUGUUUAUUUUAUUGUUAGAUUCAUGGGGAUCUCUAUGUAGUGAAUCCCUUUUGGGACUUAUGUGAAGCUGAUCUGGUGGGAUGUUAAUGUUAUAUCGACAUGCAGAUUUGACAAAAUUAUUAAGAAGGAAAUUCCUUCCACUGUUGUCUAUUAGGAUGAUAAGGACUCUUCUGGAAGCUUUCGAGAGGGUUAAAAUCAGGCACGCUUUCAGGGAAGGCAACCAAUUGUGCAGAUAAGCUUGCUCGGAGAGGAAGGAUGCUGAAAGAACCGUCUUGUAUUUUGUUUGAACCUCCACCUGCUGCUAUGUUUCUUUUGAACCAUAACCAAGCUGGGAAAUCUAUCUCAAGACUAAAACUCUGUAUUUCUCUUCAUGUUUAAUUUAAAGCCUACUAUUUUCUGGAAUUUGAGGGUAAUUAUUUAAGAAUUCUUUUUAACU
Molecule: long non-coding RNA, 1070 nt
Organism: Eucalyptus grandis
Lineage: Eukaryota; Viridiplantae; Streptophyta; Magnoliopsida; Myrtales; Myrtaceae
Exons: 2
Source: RefSeq, a predicted model, not a curated record